RNAcentral lists this ribosomal RNA (797 nucleotides) under uncultured bacterium. RNAcentral describes it as "bacterial SSU rRNA". It matches the Rfam family "Bacterial small subunit ribosomal RNA", at positions 8 to 796 of the family's 1533-position model. The record is from RNAcentral.
AGAGUUUGAUCAUGGCUCAGGACGNNNNNUGGCGGCGUGCUUAACACAUGCAAGUCGAGGGGUCUCGGGGGCAACUUCGGGGCACCGGCGAACGGGUGCGUAACACGUGAGCGACCUGCCUCCCCGCGGGGGAUAGCCGGCCCAACGGCCGGGUAAUACCGCAUACGCUCGUCGGGGCACCUGCCCGGGCGAGGAAACUUCCGGGGCGGGGAGAGGGGCUCGCGGCCUAUCAGCUAGUUGGCGGGGUAACGGCCCACCAAGGCGGUGACGGGUAGCUGGUCUGAGAGGAUGGCCAGCCACAUUGGGACUGAGAGACGGCCCAGACUCCUACGGGAGGCAGCAGUGGGGAAUCUUGCGCAAUGGGAGCAAUCCUGACGCAGCGACGCCGCGUGGGGGAGGAAGGGCUUCGGCUCGUAAACCCCUGUUGCCCGGGGCGAACCAUGGGUUUCGACCCAUCUGACGGUACCGGGUGAGGAAGCACCGGCUAACUCCGUGCCAGCAGCCGCGGUAAUACGGAGGGUGCGAGCGUUGUCCGGAAUCACUGGGCGUAAAGGGCGCGUAGNNGGAUGCAAGCGUGUGGUGAAAGCCCGGGGCUCAACCCCGGGUCGGCCGUGCGGCUGGCGUGCUCGAGCACUGUAGGGGCGGGUGGAAUUCCGGGUGUAGCGGUGGAAUGCGUAGAGAUCUGGAAGAACACCGGUGGCGAAGGCGGCCCNNUGGGCAGGAAGGCUCGCAAGAGCCGGCUGACGCUGAGGCGCGACAGCGUGGGGAGCAAACAGGAUUAGAUACCCUAGUAGUCC